This 497-nucleotide ribosomal RNA is filed under the name uncultured bacterium. RNAcentral's name for it is "partial 16S ribosomal RNA". It matches the Rfam family "Bacterial small subunit ribosomal RNA", at positions 28 to 507 of the family's 1533-position model. The record is from RNAcentral.
GACGAACGCUGGCGGCGUGCCUAAUACAUGCAAGUAGAACGCUGAAGCUUGGUGCUUGCACCGAGCGGAUGAGUUGCGAACGGGUGAGUAACGCGUAGGUAACCUGCCUGGUAGCGGGGGAUAACUAUUGGAAACGAUAGCUAAUACCGCAUAACAGUAGAUAUCGCAUGAUAGCUACUUGAAAGGUGCAAAUGCACCACUACCAGAUGGACCUGCGUUGUAUUAGCUAGUUGGUGAGGUAACGGCUCACCAAGGCAACGAUACAUAGCCGACCUGAGAGGGUGAUCGGCCACACUGGGACUGGGACACGGCCCAGACUCCUACGGGAGGCAGCAGUAGGGAAUCUUCGGCAAUGGACGGAAGUCUGACCGAGCAACGCCGCGUGAGUGAAGAAGGGUUUCGGAUCGUAAAGCUCUGUUGUAAGAGAAGAACGAGUGUGCGAGUGGAAAGUUCACACUGUGACGGUAUCUUACCAGAAAGGGACGGCUAACUACGUG